Molecule: transfer RNA, 71 nt
Filed under: Holbrookia lacerata
Lineage: Eukaryota; Metazoa; Chordata; Lepidosauria; Squamata; Phrynosomatidae
Description: tRNA-Ser
Rfam family: tRNA
About the family: Transfer RNA (tRNA) molecules are approximately 80 nucleotides in length. Their secondary structure includes four short double-helical elements and three loops (D, anti-codon, and T loops). Further hydrogen bonds mediate the characteristic L-shaped molecular structure. tRNAs have two regions of fundamental functional importance: the anti-codon, which is responsible for specific mRNA codon recognition, and the 3' end, to which the tRNAs corresponding amino acid is attached (by aminoacyl-tRNA synthetases). tRNAs cope with the degeneracy of the genetic code in two manners: having more than one tRNA (with a specific anti-codon) for a particular amino acid; and 'wobble' base-pairing, i.e. permitting non-standard base-pairing at the 3rd anti-codon position.
Source: RNAcentral
GGGAAAGUAGCAUUACGGUAGUGUGGCUGGCUUGAAACCAGUAUUAGGAGGUUCAAUUCCUUCCUUUCUCG